Long non-coding RNA from Amphimedon queenslandica, 185 nucleotides. RefSeq lists it as uncharacterized. The record is from RefSeq and is a predicted model, not a curated record. NCBI's taxonomy places the organism in Eukaryota, Metazoa, Porifera, Demospongiae, Haplosclerida, Niphatidae. The transcript is spliced from 3 exons.
GGAGUGGGAGUCUGUUGCUAAGGAGUGAGGUGGUAAUGUCAAGCUAGGGAAAGAAAAGAGUUAUCUGAUCUUGAUUCAGAGACAAGAGGUAUGGUUGAGAAGAUGAUGUAUGAUCAGAGACAGAAAGAGAGGUCUUCCCAUGUGUGCUGAACAAAAGAAGCAAGAUACAUGUAUAUUGAAGAAGU